CGUCCUCGUGUUUCUCUGUUCGAUCUGAGCAGCUGCACCGCCACUUAUGAAGGGCGCUACUACGCGCCCGUCCAAUGGGCAGGCUCGGCGGUUAUGAUUAUGGAUGAGCGCGGAAUUUUCAGCAGGUAGAUGGAUUUUUCUGGAAACUCCAUCACCAGUGUGACCAGAGGCAGCCUGAGCCGGAGUUCUGGCAUCCAAAAGAAUUCUGAAUGACGGUGUGAUUGAAAUUCAUCUGAACUUAAGUGCAAGAUUUCCUCGUGUCUCCAGUCCUGCUGCCUUCCUGCUAUCAUCUCCGUUAUCAAAGGCUUGAUUCCACUCUGUUCUCUGACCACGAUUAUGGCAGUGUGAUUCAUGCAGUCCACUUUUAUCAGCCAACACUGAAACAUUUCAGCUCCCACAGGACAAAGCAGCGCUGAAAGGGAUCUUGUGAACCGCUGAGAAAGGCAGACAACUGAUGGCACUGAUGAGGAGCGCCAGAUGGUCCAAGUCUUCACAGAUGAACCGAAAAUGUGGGGUUCUAGCAAGACUCACAACUACCAGUGUUUACCAGCUCACAAAACAUAUGGUACAAUAUUCCACAGGUUUUUUUUGUCUUUUCUAGUAUUAUUUAAAAAAAAUGAUUUGAGGGUUUUUACUAUACAAAUAGAAGUGGCUGUAUGUGAGAAUUUGGCAGGAUGUUCUACUCAUAUAAAGACUUUUAUACUUCUUUCACUGUUCAAAUAUCUUUCUUUUUUGUAUAGUGGUUUCUAGGAAUUUUCUUCUGCAGAGUUAUAUGACAGAAUAUAAUUUGUGUGCAAUAAUAAGUUCUCAUUCUGCUAUCCUGCAAUAAAAAAAGCAGCAAAAGUUUUAAAAAUGUGGACUAUUACCCACUUCAUUAACCACUGCAAGUUCAUUAUUUUUAAGUAAUAUUCACAGCGACAAACAAACAUAAUUAUUAAAAAUAUAAAAAGUUUGCCAAAGUCAUGGAUAACUAUUUUACAGUCAAUUAGUAAACAGAAUUUACCUUACUUUAUCUAACAUUUUUGUUAACUACAUUGAUAUUUACUUAAAAAAUUAUUAUUACUAACAGAAUAAAGUACUCUUUGGUCAAGGGUGCAUCAUUAAAUAAGAGUUGACUUUGAUCUUUUUUAAGAAAUGAAUGGCUAUUACACAUUAAAGUUGAAAAAUAAAAAAACCUAAGGUACAGCGAGGAAAAUUAAAGUGCUUAAUUACUCUAAAAUGUUAGCUCCUUUGUGUUAUUGCCAAGUGGAGCCAAUUUGCACUGCUGGAAAUUACAGUUCUUUGUG
This is a long non-coding RNA of Oryzias melastigma (Indian medaka), 1286 nucleotides long. RefSeq lists it as uncharacterized. Lineage: Eukaryota; Metazoa; Chordata; Actinopteri; Beloniformes; Adrianichthyidae. The record is from RefSeq and is a predicted model, not a curated record. The transcript has 3 exons.